GAUGAAGAACGCAGCGAAAUGCGAUACGUAGUGUGAAUUGCAGAAUUCAGUGAAUCAUCGAAUCUUUGAACGCCCAUUGCACCUCUCGGUAUUCAGGGAGGUAUGCCUGUUCGAGCGUCAUUUGUACCCUCAAGCUCUGCUUGGUGUUGGGUGUUUGUUCCGCCUCUGUGUGUGAACUCGCCUCAAAACAAUUGGCAGCCGGCGUACUUGUUUCGGAGCGCAGCACAUUUUGCGAUCCAGAUCAACGUACAGCGGCAUCCAAGAAGCCUUAUUUAACGCUCUUGACCUCGGAUCAGGUAGGGAUACCCGCUGAACUUAAGCAUAUCAAUAAGCGGAGGA
Molecule: unclassified non-coding RNA, 339 nt
Filed under: soil metagenome
Description: partial contains 5.8S ribosomal RNA, internal transcribed spacer 2, and large subunit ribosomal RNA
Rfam family: 5.8S ribosomal RNA (bases 1-120)
Source: RNAcentral